Molecule: long non-coding RNA, 2834 nt
Filed under: Homo sapiens (human)
Lineage: Eukaryota; Metazoa; Chordata; Mammalia; Primates; Hominidae
Description: non-protein coding UGDH-AS1:7
Source: RNAcentral
GUGCGUGGCGUGUCCGCUGGACCAGGGGACGGGGGCGCGCCGCAGGUGUAGGAGCUUUGCGCGCCUACCUGGCGGUCGUGGGUCGAGGAGGGGUCAAGAAUUGUUGUCUAGCAGCCCUCUCCCCGCUGCCCUGUCCUGGCCGAGGCAAAGGCCGCGUGCGCUCCGCGUCUGCCAGGCUUUAGGGCUGCGCGGACACUGGGUGGGUGGUGGGCCGAGGCGACCGGAAGGUCCUGGCCGCCUUUCCGGUCUCCUCAGCACCCUGGAGCGCCGCCCUCGGGUUUCGGUCUCCUGGAUCUGCGGGUCGGUCUCGGCGGGCGGAUUACUCCUCGCCCACAACCUCGAGGCCCCGGGGUCAACCGCGCCCUCCGGGCCGGCAACCCAGGGUUUAGUCAGAUUCCUCCUGACCCACCGCUUCUGGGAAAGAGGCGCCUCCCGUCAGGAGGAUGCUGAGUUCCUCAUGACUGGACCAGUGAGUGUCCACUCCCUGGUCCCUGGCGAGAGAGGCGGGACCCCCACGCCCUCCUGGCGCUCUUUGCAGAGAUGUUCCUCAGGCCCAAUCCGGGAUUUGGGAUGUCUGUGCGUGCUGUGGAGCAGAGAGUUUGCAACAUGGUCUCACUUUGUCACCCAGGCUGGAAUGCAUUGGCAUGAACACGUCUCACUGCAGCCUCAACCUCCCAGGCUGAAGUGACCCUCCAACUCUGCUUUCACAGUAGCUGUGAUAUGGUUUGGCUGUGUCCCCACCCACAUCUCAUCUUAAAACCCAGUGGGAGGUAAUUGAAUCAUGGGGGCAAGUCUUUCCUGUGCUGUUCUUGUGAUAGUGAAUAAGUCUCAUGAGAUCUGAUGGUUUUUAAAAGAGUUCUGGCUGGGCAUGGUGGUGGGCACCUGUAAUCCAAACUACUAGGGAGGCUGAGGCAGAGUGAAUUGCUUGAACCUGGGAGAAGGAGGUUGCAGUGAGCCGAGAUUGCACCGCUGCACUCCAGCCUGGGCAAAAUUGAAGACUCUGUCUCCAAAAAAAAAAAAAAGGAGUUCCUCUGCAUAAGCUCUCUCUCUUUGCCUGCUGCCAUCCAUGUAAGAUGUGACUUGCUCUUCCUUGCCCUAUGAUUGUGAGUCUUUCCCCAGCCACGUGGAACUGUAAGUCCAAAUAAACCUCUUUCUUUUGUAAAUUGCCCAGUCUUGGGUAUGUCUAUCAGCAGCAUGGAAAUGGACUAAUACAGUAAAUUGGUACCAGUAGAGUGGGGUGUUGCUGAAAAGAUACCUGAAAAUGUGAAAGUGACUUUGGAACUGGGUAGCAGGCAAACAUUGGAACAGUUUGGAGGGCUCAGAAGAAGACAGGAAAAUGUAGGAAAGUUUGGAACUUCCUAGAGACUUGUUGAAUGGCAUUGACAAAAAUGCUAAUAGUGAUACGAACAAUAAGAUCCAGUCUGAGGUGGUCUCAGAUGGAGAUGAGGAACUUGUUGGGAACUGGAGCAAAGGUGACUCUUGUUAUGUUUUAGCAAAGAGACUGGUGACAUUUUGCCCCUGCCCGAGAGAUUUGUGGAACUUUGAACUUGAGGGAGAUGAUUUAGGGUAUCUGGUGGAAGACAUUUCUUUUUUUUUUUUUGUGACGGAGUCUUGCAUUGUCGCCUGGGGUGGAGUGCAAUGGUCUGAUCUCAGCUUACUGGGUUCAAGCAAUUCUGUCUCAGCCUCCCGAGUAGCUGGGAUUACAGGCGUCCGCCACCACGCCCUUCUAAUUUUUUGUAUUUUUAGUAGAGACGGUUUCACUAUGUUGGCCAGUGGAAGACAUUUCUAAGCAGCAAAGCAUUCAAGAGGUGGCUUGGGUGUUGUUAAAGGCAUUCUGUUUUGACUGGGUGCGGUGGUGCACACCUAUAAUCCCAGCACUUUGGGAGGCCGAGGAGGGUGGAUCAAGAGGUCAGGAGUUCAAGACCAGCCUGGCCAAUAUGGUGAAACCCUGUCUCUACUGGAAAUACAAAAAUUAGCUUGGCAUGGUGGUGUGCGCCUGUAGUCCCAGCUUCUCGGGAGGCUGAGGCAGGAGAAUCGCCUGGACCCGGGAGGUGGAGGUUCCAUUGAGCCAAGAUCAUGCCACUGACUCCAGCCUGGGCAACAGACUGAGACUCUGUCUCAAAAAAAAAGAAAAAAAAAAAGGCAUUCAGUUUUAUAAGGGAAGCAGAGCAUAAAAGUUUGGGAAAUUUGCAGCCUGACAAUGUGAUAGUAAAGAAAAUCCCAUUUUCUGAGAGGAAAUUCAAGCUGGCUGCAAAAAUUUGCAUAAGUACCAAGGAGCCGAAUGUUAAUAUCCAAGACAAUGGGGAAAAUAUCUCCCAGACAUGUCAGAGGUCUUCAUGGCAGCCCCUCCCAUCAACAGGUCCAGAGGCCUAGGAGGAAAAAGUGGUUUUGUGGGCAGCACCCAGGGUCCCCAUGCUAUGUGCAGCCUAGGGACUUGGUGCCGUGCGUCUCAGCUCCUCCAGUGGUGACUGAAAGGGGCCAACAUAGAGCUCGGGCUGCUGCUUCAUGGGGUGGAAGUCCCAAAUCUUGGCAGCUUCCAUGUGGUGUUGAGCCUGCGAGUACAUAGAAGUCAAGAAUUGGGGUUUGGGAACCUCCAUCUAGAUUUCAGAAGAUAUAUGGAAAUUCCUGGAUGCCCAGGCAGAAGUUUGCUGUAGGGGUGGGGCCUUCAUGGAGAACCUCUGCUAGAGCAGUGCAGAAGGGAAAUGUGGGGUCGGAGCCCCCACACAGAGUCCCCGCUGCGGCCCUGCCUGAUGGAGCUGUGAGAAGUGGACCACCGUUCUCCAGACCCCAGAAUGGUAGAUCCACCGACAGCUUGCACCGUGUGCCUGGAAAAG